This 2317-nucleotide long non-coding RNA is filed under the name Homo sapiens (human). Its description in RNAcentral is "HSALNT0374610". The record is from RNAcentral. Lineage: Eukaryota; Metazoa; Chordata; Mammalia; Primates; Hominidae.
ACUUGAGAGCAGGUUUAGGCGAGUGGAGAGUCCGGAGCGCGCCGGGGAGUCUGCGCCCUGUUUGGCGUUGGCAAACCCUGGUGUCAUCCCGGCUACCCAGGCCGGCCUGGCGUGCAGCUGCCCUGGUUGUGGCCCUGGAAUCCUCGCCGGGAGGAAGAAGGCGGCGGGCACGAGUAGGAGAGCCUCUCCAGCUACGGAGGAAGAGGGUUAAACCUGGAGAAGGGGAGACUCACCCUUGAAAAUGUUUGAGACUGUUCCUAGCAAGAAAGUGCUCAUUUUCCUUGGAGGUCCAGGUGUUGCUUGCAACAGAAACAGAGGCUUCUCGCAUUUUCUUGCACUGGCGAUGCACCUAGUCAGAGGUAGUGGAGUGAAAAAUAACUCUGGAGGGAAUAAGGACAUUCUUGGCAACCUUUCCAAAAAAGAGCUAGCCCAGACUGAGAGUAUGCAUCCUUGACUGACUAUUCAGCUCUUUAAAAAUUCUGUGUUGUUUGUCUUUUGUUGUAAUCUUGGUCGCCAGAACCAUCUAUAUACUGAUCUCUUUAAGGUACAGUUAACUUACAGUGUCUCACUUACAUGCGCUGCUGAGGUGAAGGUGUUUAAAAUCAAUAAGUGUAAGUAGUUUCCCUGGAAGAGAGAAGUAAAACGUACCAAUCACUCAGUGCUGGAAUAUUUUUAUGCUAAGCAUAAUUUCCUUCUUUAGUAGUUAGAGCAGUUUUUUAAAAAAAAUAGUUAACACGAUGCAGAAGUCAAACAGCAUGAUUCUGUUUCCGUAUUUUCCUCACUUUUUGGUAUGCUGCGGCACAUUUAGAACAUGAUCUGUCUGGAGGUUUUAUUCACAUGGUGGCCUGCCCUUCAGGGAGAACUUGCUUGCCUUCUUUCUUUGGCAGUUUGGAUUUGACCUAGCCCUGUGGUAUGUGCAAGUAGGAACAUCUACAAACGGUUAACUCUUUAAGUCUUCCUACGAUUUAUGUUCAGUUCAUUCACACACACACACACACACACACACACACACACACAAAAGCUUUGAUUGUAAUUAUGAACGUGAAUUAAAACUGUUUCAGGCCAUCAGAUUUAUGUAAAAGUUAGGCUUGUUUUGUUCAUUUUAAUAAAAGAAUAGUGACUUAAAAAUUACAGUCGUGAUAACAAAACUGUGAACAGCAGUGGCAUCUAUGUGGGUUUUUGUUUUUCUGAAGAUGUCGUAUUGACAAGCUUAUUUUGUAUCGGUUAUGCCCUUGCAUUGUUAAAAUAAUUGGACUGAUUUCUCCAGAACCAUAUUCCUUUACAGGCUCUGUAAAGACACUCUUGUCAUUCACAGACUCUGGCUGGAGCAAUGGGAAAACACUAGCAUGUGUAAUUACAUAGACUGGAAUAUUAAAUAUACUGUUUUGUGAUGAUAAACUACAAAAUUAUCGUCCCUGAGCUUUUCACCUACUGACUUAUAGGUUUGAGACAAAAAUACUAUACACUGGAACAUAAAGAACAUAUGUAUAUAUAGGCCACAAAACAUGAAAUCUGUUAUUCACUAAAUAUUGUGAAUAAAGUUAAAUUUAAUCGUGAAAAUUAUUUUGACACAUAAAAAGGGAGAAGGAUUGUGAAAAUGUGUUUUAUAUUAGUGAGUUAAGUGAUUUUAUACUAUUCAAAUUUAAGUGUAAAAAUCUACUGCAAUAAAUUAUUACAUUAGAAAUGUUUGUAUAUAUGAUUGAAAUGUAUGCUUACAUGUGCAAUGUCUUAUAGGAAUAAUAUAUGUAAGGUUCCUUGGCUAUAGUUUUUUCCAGUAUACAUUUACAAUAUUGUCUGUCUAGUGAUAUUAAAUGAGCCAAAUUUGAACACUCUCAAGUCCAAGAAUGUUGAACUGUGGGAAACAAAGGUGUCAUAAGAAGAAAAUGACUAUUUGUGUGCUUGUCUAUUCACCAAAUGAAACUUCCCACAUUUCAAAAUAGGAAAGAUUUGGUUUUAGUUCUUGGCUUCUAGGGGAUCAAUAUUCUUGGCCUAACCCUUCACAACCAAAGAAAGAGCCCUCAUAAUCGGCCAUUCAUUAAAGAAAGGCAAUGUGGCAUUGCUGUUAUUAACCAGCCUUCACACCUCUUGCCUGAAUCUGGUUGAGCUUUUAACAAAGUAAAUUUUCAAGCCAUUUUCAUUCAUAUGUACCAAAAUGUAAAUUUGCUUUUAAUUUCCUCAUAUCUUGUGUUUGAAUUGAUAGAGGUAUAUUUUUAUUCUUGCUCAGUUUUGUCCUAAAGAUUAAAAAAAUCCCAGCAUAUAGGAAAUGGAAUAGUCUGUGUGAGUGAAUAGUGAAGGAAAAUAAAUUGAAAGAGAAUUG